RNAcentral lists this ribosomal RNA (518 nucleotides) under uncultured bacterium. RNAcentral describes it as "bacterial SSU rRNA". It matches the Rfam family "Bacterial small subunit ribosomal RNA", at positions 8 to 518 of the family's 1533-position model. The record is from RNAcentral.
AGAGUUUGAUUCUGGCUCAGGAUGAACGCUAGCGACAGGCUUAACACAUGCAAGUCGAGGGGCAGCAUAAAAGUAGCAAUACUUUGGUGGCGACCGGCGCACGGGUGAGUAACGCGUAUGCAACCUACCUAUCAGAGGGGAAUAACCCGGCGAAAGUCGGACUAAUACCGCAUAAAACAGGGACACCGCAUGGUGAUAUUUGUUAAAGAAAUUCGCUGAUAGAUGGGCAUGCGUUCCAUUAGGUAGUUGGUGAGGUAACGGCUCACCAAGCCGACGAUGGAUAGGGGAACUGAGAGGUUGGUCCCCCACACUGGUACUGAGACACGGACCAGACUCCUACGGGAGGCAGCAGUGAGGAAUAUUGGUCAAUGGGCGAGAGCCUGAACCAGCCAAGUCGCGUGAAGGAAGAAGGAUCUAUGGUUCGUAAACCUCUUUUGCAGGGGAAUAAAGUGCAGGACGUGUCCUGUUUUGUAUGUACCCUGAGAAUAAGGAUCGGCUAACUCCGUGCCAGCCGCCGC